This 253-nucleotide ribosomal RNA is filed under the name uncultured bacterium. RNAcentral's name for it is "partial 16S ribosomal RNA". It matches the Rfam family "Bacterial small subunit ribosomal RNA", at positions 524 to 776 of the family's 1533-position model. The record is from RNAcentral.
UACGAAGGCGGCAAGCGUUGUUCGGAUUUACUGGGCGUACAGGGAGCGUAGGCGGUUGGGUAAGCCAUCCGUGAAAUCUCCGGGCCCAACCCGGAAAGAGCGGAGGGGACUGCUCGGCUAGAGGAUGGGAGAGGAGCGCGGAAUUCCCGGUGUAGCGGUGAAACUUGUAGAGAUCGGGAGGAAGGCCGGUGGCGAAGGCGGCGCUCUUGAACAUUUCUGACGCUGAGGCUCGAAAGCGUGGGGAGCAAACAGG